GUCAAAUCCUCAUGGCCCUUACGCCUGGGGCUAGACACGUGCUACAAUGGCCGGCACAAAGCGAUGCGAGCCCGAGAGGGCAUAGCGAACCGCCGAAAGCCGGCCGUAGUCCGGAUUGAAGUCUGAAACCCGACUUCAUGAAGCUGGAAUCGCUAGUAAUCGCGCAUCAGCAUGGCGCGGUGAAUACGUUCCCGGGCCUU
RNAcentral lists this ribosomal RNA (200 nucleotides) under uncultured prokaryote. RNAcentral describes it as "partial 16S ribosomal RNA". It matches the Rfam family "Bacterial small subunit ribosomal RNA", at positions 1184 to 1382 of the family's 1533-position model. The record is from RNAcentral.